Molecule: ribosomal RNA, 301 nt
Filed under: uncultured bacterium
Lineage: Bacteria
Description: partial 16S ribosomal RNA
Rfam family: Bacterial small subunit ribosomal RNA
Source: RNAcentral
CAGUCGCCGCGGGAAUACAGAGGGUGCGAGCGUUAAUCGGAUUUACUGGGCGUAAAGCGUGCGUAGGCGGCUUCUUAAGUCGGAUGUGAAAUCCCUGAGCUUAACUUAGGAAUUGCACUCGAUACUGGGAAGCUAGAGUAUGGGAGAGGAUGGUAGAAUUCCAGGUGUAGCGGUGAAAUGCGUAGAGAUCUGGAGGAAUACCGAUGGCGAAGGCAGCCAUCUGGCCUAAUACUGACGCUGAGGUACGAAAGCAUGGGGAGCAAACAGGAUUAGAUACCCGAGUAGUCCCUGUCUCUUAUAC